Molecule: transfer RNA, 75 nt
Filed under: Albula vulpes (bonefish)
Lineage: Eukaryota; Metazoa; Chordata; Actinopteri; Albuliformes; Albulidae
Description: tRNA-Lys
Rfam family: tRNA
About the family: Transfer RNA (tRNA) molecules are approximately 80 nucleotides in length.
Source: RNAcentral
CACUAGGAAGCUAAAUAUGGACGUAGCGUUAGCCUUUUAAGCUAAAGAUUGGUGAUUUCCGACCACCCCUAGUGG